Molecule: microRNA, 22 nt
Filed under: Caenorhabditis elegans
Lineage: Eukaryota; Metazoa; Nematoda; Chromadorea; Rhabditida; Rhabditidae
Source: RNAcentral
AUUAUUGAUCGAAAUUUGGACC